GGGGGGAAGCAGAGAGCUCCCGUCCUGUGCUUUUAUCUAUCGCAGCAGGCUGUUCUCUCCAUCGACGUCCGCAUUCACAUACACAUUCAAAUGUGGACGGAGCGCGGUGGGUUCCUGCAUCCUGAGGACGUCUCUUACGUCUCCUGGUGUCUCCGUCGGAGCGGCGUUUGCGACGCCGCUUCUCUCCUACGGCCAGUUGCGCGGUAGCUGGUCUCCAACGCACCAGCAAGAAGACGGCCGAUGGUCCCCAAAGCAUGCGUCAUAAUGUAUUAGGGCAGAAUUUGAAACUAGCCUUUCAUGGGCACUGACGUCUGAGGCCUCCCAGAGACCACAAGCAGAUCCAUCCGUCUUGUGAUGGAGAGCGCGCUGAUGACACCACCCUCCUGGAAUGUGGAGACAAAGCCGGAGCAGUUGCACAAGCGGGGGGAAGACACAGGACCGUAAAUCAGGACGGGAGGCUGAACCACCAGAGGAGGUUCUCCAGAUCUAACCUCCUUCACACUUGUCAGACAUCUGGAAAGAGUUAUUUUUUCCCGUUACGGUAUCAAAGGUUUCGACCCUCCUAAAAACCACGGAAAUGCAACGACCACGAAUUGAACUUCUCUCCAUGUUUGUUAAUGAAUGUGCUGUUUUAGGAAGCUUUUCGCCUGAUGUGUAUAGACUGUGAGGAAUGUGCUAAUGCAGUGAGAUCUUCAUCAGAACGGGUCCAAAACAAAGAUUAAUCGACUCCACUGCGUACUGUUGACUUUCUUUAAAAGGGUUUUAUCUGUUUGGAACCAUGGAACUGAGCUCCUUGGGUUACCGCUCCUGCUGGUGUACAGUGGAGAGGCAUUUCUCCAGGAAAAGAAAAGCUAUUGUCCUCUUGGAUGGAGGAGGUGGAACCUUCAUUGUCUUGCGUUUGGGGUGAGGGCAUCAAGCUGUGGUAAGAGGAAAGAACAGAGGAAAAAAAGAGUUUAGUUUAGGUUCUCAGGGUGGCCAAGUCGCCCCCAAAAACAACAACAACACAGAAAAAUAAGAUUUUACUGAAUCAG
Molecule: long non-coding RNA, 1031 nt
Organism: Gasterosteus aculeatus aculeatus (three-spined stickleback)
Lineage: Eukaryota; Metazoa; Chordata; Actinopteri; Perciformes; Gasterosteidae
Source: Ensembl